RNAcentral lists this transfer RNA (72 nucleotides) under Bos taurus (domestic cattle). It matches the Rfam family "tRNA". Rfam says of the family: Transfer RNA (tRNA) molecules are approximately 80 nucleotides in length. Their secondary structure includes four short double-helical elements and three loops (D, anti-codon, and T loops). RNAcentral also lists the same sequence under 2 other names. The record is from Rfam by way of RNAcentral. Lineage: Eukaryota; Metazoa; Chordata; Mammalia; Artiodactyla; Bovidae.
UCCCUGGUGGCUCAGACGGUAAAGAACCCGCCUGUAAUGCGGGAGAUCCGGGUUGAAUCCCUGGGUUGGGAA